ACAGUGGACGCGAGCAUCUUUGUUGUAAGUGUUUAAGAGCGUACGGUGGAUGCCUUGGCACCAGGAGCCGAUGAAGGACGUAGGAGGCUGCGAUAAGCCUCGGGGAGCUGUCAACCGAGCUGAGAUCCGAGGAUGUCCGAAUGGGGAAACCCAGCCACAGUGAUGUGUGGUUACCCGCGCCUGAAUAUAUAGGGCGUGAGGAGGGAACGUGGGGAAGUGAACAUCUCAGUACCCACAGGAAGAGAAAACAACAUGUGAUUCCGUGAGUAGUGGCGAGCGAAAGCGGAAGAGGCUAAACCAUGGGUGUGUGAUAGCCGGCGGGCGUUGCAUUCGUGGGGUUGUGGGAUCCGUCUUGUCAAUUCUGCCGGAUUGGCCGACAGUGAGAAAUCAUCGUGUUAGUCGAAGUGGUCUGGAACGGCCUGUCGUAGAGGGUGAGAGUCCCGUAGACGAAAACAUGGUGACUGUCGUGACGGACACCGAGUAGCAGCGGGCCCGUGAAAUCUGCUGUGAAAUCUGUCGGGACCACCCGAUAAGCC
RNAcentral lists this ribosomal RNA (536 nucleotides) under Rhodococcus (subgen. Prescottella) equi. RNAcentral's name for it is "Rhodococcus hoagii partial 23S ribosomal RNA". It matches the Rfam family "Bacterial large subunit ribosomal RNA", at positions 1 to 466 of the family's 2925-position model. Lineage: Bacteria; Bacillati; Actinomycetota; Actinomycetes; Mycobacteriales; Nocardiaceae. The record is from RNAcentral.